Molecule: ribosomal RNA, 253 nt
Filed under: uncultured bacterium
Lineage: Bacteria
Description: partial 16S ribosomal RNA
Rfam family: Bacterial small subunit ribosomal RNA
Source: RNAcentral
UACGUAGGGUGCAAGCGUUAAUCGGAAUUACUGGGCGUAAAGCGUGCGCAGGCGGCUUUGCAAGACAGAUGUGAAAUCCCCGGGCUUAACCUGGGAACUGCAUUUGUGACUGCAAGGCUAGAGUACGGCAGAGGGGGAUGGAAUUCCGCGUGUAGCAGUGAAAUGCGUAGAUAUGCGGAGGAACACCGAUGGCGAAGGCAAUCCCCUGGGCCUGUACUGACGCUCAUGCACGAAAGCGUGGGGAGCAAACAGG